Molecule: ribosomal RNA, 490 nt
Filed under: uncultured bacterium
Lineage: Bacteria
Description: partial 16S ribosomal RNA
Rfam family: Bacterial small subunit ribosomal RNA
Source: RNAcentral
AUUGAACGCUGGCGGCAGGCCUAACACAUGCAAGUCGAACGGUAACAGGAAGCAGCUUGCUGAUUUGCUGACGAGUGGCGGACGGGUGAGUAAUGUCUGGGAAACUGCCCGAUGGAGGGGGAUAACUACUGGAAACGGUAGCUAAUACCGCAUAACGUCGCAAGACCAAAGAGGGGGACCUUAGGGCCUCUUGCCAUCGGAUGUGCCCAGAUGGGAUUAGCUAGUAGGUGGGGUAACGGCUCACCUAGGCGACGAUCCCUAGCUGGUCUGAGAGGAUGACCGGCCCCCCUGGAACUGAGACCCGUCCCAGACUCCUACGGGAGGCCGCAGUGGGGAAUAUUGCACAAUGGGCGCAAGCCUGAUGCAGCCAUGCCGCGUGUAUGAAGAAGGCCUUCGGGUUGUAAAGUACUUUCAGCGGGGAGGAAGGGAGUAAAGUUAAUACCUUUGCUCAUUGACGUUACCCGCAGAAGAAGCACCGGCUAACUCCGUG